This 363-nucleotide ribosomal RNA is filed under the name uncultured Methanosaeta sp. RNAcentral's name for it is "bacterial SSU rRNA". It matches the Rfam family "Archaeal small subunit ribosomal RNA", at positions 976 to 1338 of the family's 1478-position model. The record is from RNAcentral. Lineage: Archaea; Methanobacteriati; Methanobacteriota; Methanomicrobia; Methanotrichales; Methanotrichaceae.
UUAGCUGAGAGGUGGUGCAUGGCCGUCGUCAGUUCGUACUGUGAAGCAUCCUGUUAAGUCAGGCAACGAGCGAGACCCACGUCCACAGUUGCCAGCAUACCCUCCGGGGUGAUGGGUACACUGUGGAGACCGCCGCUGCUAAAGCGGAGGAAGGAGUGGGCAACGGUAGGUCAGUAUGCCCCGGAUCUCCCGGGCUACACGCGGGCUACAAUGGUUGGUACAAUGGGCAUCUACCCCGAAAGGGGAAGGAAAUCUCUUAAAGCCAAUCGUAGUUCGGAUUGAGGGCUGCAACUCGCCCUCAUGAAGCUGGAAUCCGUAGUAAUCGCGUUUCAACAGAACGCGGUGAAUACGUCCCUGCUCCUU